AUCCCGAGUUCAUGGGUUGGUAGGCAGUACUGUCAAGAUGUCAAUAAUACCCAAAAUGAUCAACAGAUUCAACACAAUUCUUAGCAAAAUCCCAACAGCAUUUCUUGAAGAAAUACAUAAAUCCAUCCUAAGAUUCAUAUGCAAUCUGAAGACCCUCAGAGUACAAACAAGUUUGAAAAUAACAAAGUUGGAGGUCACACAAUUAUUUCAAAAUUAUCACAAAGCUAAACUAAUCAAAGUGGCACAGUACUGGCAUGAAGACAGACCCGUGGAACAGAAUAAAGAUGUCAGAAAUAAACUUGUGUAUAUGGUCAAAUGAUGUUCCACAGGGUGUCAGUACCACUCAGUGGGGGAAGGGCAGUCCACUGAACUAUGCUGAGAGGAGACCAAGAUGGUGGAGCAGAAGGAUGUGGAGCUCCUCCUCUCCCACAGAUACACCAAAAAUACAUCUCCAUGUGGAACAAGUCUCACAGAACACUUACUGAAAGCUGGCAGAAGAUCUCAUACAACAAAAACGGCAAGAAAGCUCCCCACUUAACUGGUUAGGACAAAAGGGGGAAGAAAGGAGUCGGGAUGGGACCUGCACCCCUGGGAAGGAGCUAGGAAGGAAGAAAGGUUCCCACACCCCGGGGAACUCCUCGACUGGCUGAGAGGUCCGCCAGGACAGGGAGGGGAGCUUUCGACACCAGAGAGGAGAGUGCAGGAGCUGGCUUGUGGCCAGUAGGGUAGGGAGAGAGCAGCACAGCCAGUCCUUGCCAUGCUGCUGCACUUCCCAGCCCGAGAUAUGUGCCUCCUGGUGUGCACAGCAACUGGGUGCUGAAACUCAGGCCUCGGCGACAUACUCGGGGAGAGAACUCGGUUUUGCUGUGCAGAGACGGCCCAAAGGUCCUGGAGCGUGGUCUGGGCCACAGCUGGGGCUGUGUGCAGGACAGAGUGCAGGUCUGCAAUAGGAGCCCACUAUCAAUGCACAAAGAGAGGGGCGUGGGCCUGCCAUAGCAGCCUCGUUGUCAGGGUGCUCAGGGGGGCACAGCUCUGGCCGUCGCAGGCUUUGGGAGUGUGCAUGGGUGGCAGGUUUGGGGAGCGCACACAUGUCACUGGAAGGGCGUCUGACCCGAUUAUUGGCACUCUGGCAGCAGGGCUGAGUUGGGGAAUGGCACCAGCAGCAGUGGACUUUGUGGGCUCACACACGUGGAGUUGGGCUGAAUCUGAGCCUAUUACCAAGUGCUCCUGCAGUGGAGGUGGGUCUGGGGGCAGCACCAGCAACUGUGGACUCUGUUGGCGCACACACACCGGGUAGCAGGCGGUGUCACAGAGUCACACGUCCCAGUGGAGGGCUACUGGGGAGGAACACGUCAUAGCUCCUUUCCCAGCAGGGUGAUCAAAUCCUGCCUACCUCAUGUCACAGCUUAGAAUUGGACCUGGGGGCUUCUACCCCCACCAGUACUUCAACUACAGGGCUGUUACAACCACCGAGCAAAGAAGAGGCCCUGCCAAACAUCCACUGCAGGCUCUGGUCACCGCAACAAACAUACCACCUAUCAAGAGGACAAUGGGGGCUUCCCUCGUGGCGCGGUGGUUGAGAGUCCGCCUGCCGACGCAGGGGACACGGGUUUGUGCCCUGGUUCAGGAGGAUCCCACAUGCCGCGAAGCAGCUGGGCCCAUGAGCGAUGGCUGCUGAGCCUGUGCGUCCAGAGCCUGUGCUCUGCAACGGGAGAGGCCACAACAGUGAGAGGCCCGCGUACCACAAAAAAAUAAAGAGGACAAUGGCCAGCACACCCUGACGAAAGAGGUGGCAAGCGCCCAUACCAAAAGAGCCCCUGCACCAAAAAUUUUGGACUCACACACACAGCCUAUUCAGGGAUGCUCCCGCAUAAAAGCAGCCCUUCAACAGUAGAUAACUGUUGCUCCUAAAUUCAUAGAGAAAUAUAAAUAAAAUGAAAAAGCAGAGGAAUACUUCCAAGUAAAAGAACAAGAUAAAUCUCCUGAAACAACAAAAAAAUUAAACAGACCUCUUCAGUCUAUAAGCCCCAAGUUCACAAAGGAGGUAAUAAAAAUGCUGAAGGUAUUAAGAAAGACUCUCAAAUAGAAAUGCAGAUCACUGUAGCAAGGAACUAGAAAACAUAAAGAGGAGCCAAACAAAACUAGAAAACUCAAUCGCCGAGAUAAAAACCGAACUAAAGGUAAUGAAUAAGUGAUCUGGAAGACAGUGUAACAGAAAUCACACAAUGAGAAGAGCUGAGAGAUCUACACCAAGACAUAUUAAAAUGGCAAAAGUUAAAGAGAGGAUUCUAAAGGCAGCAAGAGAAAAACAAAGUCAGUUACAAGGGAACCCCCAUAAGGCUAUCAGCUGACUUCUCUACAGAAACUCUUGCAGACCAGAAGAUAGUGGCAAGAUAUAUUCAAAGUCCUGAAAAGGAUAAACCUGCAACCUAGAAUAUUCUACCCAGCAAGAUGAUCAUUUAGAAUAGAAGAGGUAAAGAAUUUUUCAGACAAGCAAAAACUAAAAAAAUACAGCAAUCCUAAACCCACCCUAACAGAAAUAUUGAAAAGAUCUCUAAAUAGAAAAGAAGAAUCUAUAGGAAAGGGAAAAAUCACAAUACAAAAGGUAAAUAUAUAAAAGGAUUGAAAAUCACAUAAAUGAGCCAAUUCAUGGAUUAAAAAACAAUCAAAAAAAUUUUAUGAAAGCAAUUAUAACUACAACAAACAGCAAAAGGAUAAACAUGAAGAUGUAACAUAGGACACCAAAAUCACAAAAUGUGAGGGUUAACAUCCUUGAAAACCUGGGUAACCACAAAUCAAAAAUAUACAAAAGAGUCACAAAAACCAAAAAGAAAGGAACUCAAGCAUAAUGC
Long non-coding RNA from Phocoena sinus (vaquita), 2852 nucleotides. The record is from Ensembl. NCBI's taxonomy places the organism in Eukaryota, Metazoa, Chordata, Mammalia, Artiodactyla, Phocoenidae.